Molecule: long non-coding RNA, 285 nt
Filed under: Panax ginseng (ginseng)
Lineage: Eukaryota; Viridiplantae; Streptophyta; Magnoliopsida; Apiales; Araliaceae
Description: long non-coding RNA (PGIN_LNC008289)
Source: RNAcentral
GAAAAUUCAAAUUGGCAGGUAAAACUGUCAUAUUUGGUAAAGUUUAUCUUUUAUACUGACGGUUACACAGUAGUCGAGGGCGGCACAUUAAAUUGGCAGUCAUGAUUACGAAUUUGAAAGGGUUGCGUCCGGAUUGAGCUUUAGAUAUUUAACAGAUUGGGCCUCCCCUUAGAUUUCCGGUCUUGAUCCGUCUUUCCAGUAUCCUUGUUGUUCCCAUCCUUCAUCAGUUGGACCUUGGUAAGUCAUACUUUGGGCCCAUUUCAAUCCUGUUGGAUCUCAUAAUAU